GACGACCGGCUGGGCGACUAUGCGCCCGGCCCACAAGUGGAGGCUCCGAUCUCCCACCUGGCUGCCCCUCGGGGCGGCGGGUCACCGGUCAGGCGGUGCCCAUCGUUCCGUACGGACGAUGGAGCCGCCCGAUGCGCCCCGCGGAGGACCGCGGCGGUGUUCCGGUUGUUUCAGGAGCCCCGCCUGUGUCCCGUCGGGGCAUUUUUC
Molecule: non-coding RNA, 207 nt
Filed under: Streptomyces sp. CB01580
Lineage: Bacteria; Bacillati; Actinomycetota; Actinomycetes; Kitasatosporales; Streptomycetaceae
Description: Streptomyces RNA 1601
Rfam family: Streptomyces RNA 1601
About the family: Identified by deep sequencing of transcriptome at the end of exponential growth phase.
Source: Rfam by way of RNAcentral